This 73-nucleotide transfer RNA is filed under the name Metallosphaera tengchongensis. RNAcentral's name for it is "tRNA-Asn". It matches the Rfam family "tRNA". Rfam says of the family: Transfer RNA (tRNA) molecules are approximately 80 nucleotides in length. Their secondary structure includes four short double-helical elements and three loops (D, anti-codon, and T loops). Lineage: Archaea; Thermoproteati; Thermoproteota; Thermoprotei; Sulfolobales; Sulfolobaceae. The record is from RNAcentral.
GCCGCGGUAGCUCAGUCGGCAGAGCGCCCGGCUGUUAACCGGGCGGUCGACGGUUCGAGUCCGUCCCGCGGCG